UAUCUUUUCAAUCCUAUUGUUAUGAGGAUUGAUUGUGCUGGAACAUUGAGAGGUUCUGGAAUCUCAGUUCAUCUUUCAGGCCAAAGUGACUGACAACCAUCCAGAGACUCAUCCAGACAGACAAGAGAACUCUAAUCUUUUCUUGGUAAGAGCAUCCUCAUCAAGGAUGAGGAUGUAAAUGCAUGAAAAUUACAACUUUCUGAAAGAAGUCCAACCACAUGUGGAAGAUAAUAAAAAUCUAGAAGAAGAUUAUUUUUAUGACACCAUGGCCUAUUACUAUGGAAAAUAUGAUAAGGGGAUUCAUCUCCAUGAAACAGCGGCAUUUUUGGUUUCAGCACAAGGCAUGGGAAAAUUGAGGUCUGUGAAGACCUGGAAAGCCUAGAAGCAGGCUAAAUAGGAGUCUCUCCAUUCUACCUACAAAUGCAACUGGCUGGACUGGUCACCUACAGUGGCUGCUGUGUGCACAGGGUCCAGGUUCCAGGACACAACUUUUUAAUAGUUAAAGGUACAAAAUUGGCUUUAUUGCAGAAAUUCAGUUUUUAAAUACUGGGAUUAAGUAUUUAAAAAUGUGUUUUCACUGUUAUCCCAAGUUCUCUAAGCCUUUGAGGAUAUAUACACUUUCUAAAAACAUGCAAAAAAGGUAGUGAGUGUUAAUUUUAAUCCCCAACCUCUUGAAUAAAUGGAGUUCUCUAACAUUUCACCUAGCUCAAUGUUCACUGUGAUCCAGCUUUCUCUUCUUAAGUAGAUUUUCGCCCAUAUACAUUCUAUAUUUUUCUUUGCUCAAUUUCAUCCCACUUCUCUUUUUUAUGCCCAAUUGGCUUUCCUGUAAAACUCUGCUACCAUUUUAGUAAAUUAUUAGAAUAUGCUGGGCUAAAGCCCAAGGUCUGAGCUAAAGAAACACUUGCAAAGGUUUUCUCAAGCUUGAAUCAAAAUCUACAAAAUAUCAAGCUUACUUAAUCACAUAAAUAUGUUGAAAAGAUUAGAAGAGAAUUUUUAUCCUAAAAUGACAAACUGAGAGUUUGACAAAUAUAGAUACACACACACACACACACACACACACACUCCAAGGAGUUCUACCACUUAAAAGGCAGCAAAUGUGUUAAUGCAAUACAUCAUUAAAGAUAAUACUGCAGAGUAAUACACAAACUAAGCCAGAUUUUAAACUAAGUCUCUGAGGAUCCCUGACCUGGAAAAUCCUUUGGAUCAGUGUUGUGGAUAUACC
This 1222-nucleotide long non-coding RNA is filed under the name Ovis aries (sheep). RNAcentral's name for it is "lncRNA (ENSOARG00000025837.1)". The record is from RNAcentral. Lineage: Eukaryota; Metazoa; Chordata; Mammalia; Artiodactyla; Bovidae.